This 301-nucleotide ribosomal RNA is filed under the name uncultured bacterium. Its description in RNAcentral is "partial 16S ribosomal RNA". It matches the Rfam family "Bacterial small subunit ribosomal RNA", at positions 509 to 807 of the family's 1533-position model. The record is from RNAcentral.
CAGCAGCCGCGGGAAUACGUAGGGUGCGAGCGUUAAUCGGAAUUACUGGGCGUAAAGCGUGCGCAGGCGGUUUUGUAAGACUGGCGUGAAAUCCCCGGGCUCAACCUGGGAAUGGCGCUUGUGACUGCAAAGCUAGAGUGCGGCAGAGGGGGAUGGAAUUCCGCGUGUAGCAGUGAAAUGCGUAGAUAUGCGGAGGAACACCGAUGGCGAAGGCAAUCCCCUGGGCCUGCACUGACGCUCAUGCACGAAAGCGUGGGGAGCAAACAGGAUUAGAUACCCCGGUAGUCCCUGUCUCUUAUAC